Molecule: ribosomal RNA, 537 nt
Filed under: Cyrtocarenum cunicularium
Lineage: Eukaryota; Metazoa; Arthropoda; Arachnida; Araneae; Ctenizidae
Description: partial 16S ribosomal RNA
Rfam family: Bacterial large subunit ribosomal RNA
Source: RNAcentral
GUAUGCUUAUAAUACGUAAAACCUGCUCAAUGACAUCAUCUUAAAUAGCCGCAGUAUAAUGUGCUAAGGUAGCAUAAUAAUUUGCCUUAUAAUUAAAGGCCAGAAUGAACGGUUUAACAUAUGAAUUUCUUUAUUAAUAAGGCUACUUAAACUUUACAUAUAAGUAAAAAGGCUUAUAUACUAAGAGGGACGACAAGACCCUGUCGAGCUUCACUUUAGUUUAACUGGGGCGGUCAAAAACAAAUUCUUUAUUCUUCUCUAUAUCCUAUCCUUUAAAAAAGAAUCAAACAAGUUACCGCAGGGAUAACAGCAUAAUUCUUUUUAUAAGACCUUAUUUUAAAAAGAGAUUGUGACCUCGAUGUUGAAUUAUUUAAUCUUUUAGGAGCAAAAUCUUAAAAAGAAAGUCUGUUCGACUUUUAAAAAUUUACAUGAUUUGAGUUCAGACCGGCGUAAGCCAGGUCGGUUUCUAUCUUCUUCACUUAUUCUCAGUACGAAAGGACCAAAAUAAGAGCUUAUAGCUUUUACUUUUAGCAAAAA